Long non-coding RNA from Oncorhynchus keta (chum salmon), 1626 nucleotides. RefSeq lists it as uncharacterized. The record is from RefSeq and is a predicted model, not a curated record. Lineage: Eukaryota; Metazoa; Chordata; Actinopteri; Salmoniformes; Salmonidae. The transcript is spliced from 3 exons.
AUGGUCGUAUUCAAACUAAACCAGGAAACAGGAAACAGGACAUGGUCGUAUUCAAACUAAACCAGGAAACAGGAAACAGGACAUGGUCGUAUUCAAACUAAACCAGGAAACAGGAAACAGGACAUGGUCGUAUUCAUUAGGCACCAAACAGUGAAGGACUACCUGAACUUAUCCAGAAUGAAACACACGUGAUUUCAUUACAAAGCAUUUUCUGUUGCAAUAACACUUUGCUACGGUUUCCUAGUGUGCACAAAUUAAUAUACCGCGGGACAGGGUUGUAUUCAUUAGGAAUCAAACAGAAUGAAUACACCACAGAACAGGUGAUUCAUUAGGAAUCAAACAGAAUGAAUACACCACAGAACAGGUGAUUCAUUAGGAAUCAAACAGAAUGAAUACACCACAGAACAGGUGAUUCAUUAGGAAUCAAACAGAAUGAAUACACUACAGAACAGGUGAUUCAUUAGGAAUCAAACAGAAUGAAUACACCACAGAACAGGUGAUUCAUUAGGAAUCAAACAGAAUGAAUACACUACAGAACAGGUGAUUCAUUAGGAAUCAAACAGAAUGAAUACACCACAGAACAGGUGAUUCAUUAGGAAUCAAACAGAAUGAAUACACCACAGAACAGGUGAUUCAUUAGGAAUCAAACAGAAUGAAUACACCACAGAACAGGUGAUUCAUUAGGAAUCAAACAGAAUGAAUACACUACAGAACAGGUGAUUCAUUAGGAAUCAAACAGAAUGAAUACACCACAGAACAGGUGAUUCAUUAGGAAUCAAACAGAAUGAAUACACUACAGAACAGGUGAUUCAUUAGGAAUCAAACAGAAUGAAUACACCACAGAACAGGUGAUUCAUUAGGAAUCAAACAGAAUGAAUACACUACAGAACAGGUGAUUCAUUAGGAAUCAAACAGAAUGAAUACACCACAGAACAGGUGAUUCAUUAGGAAUCAAACAGAAUGAAUACACCACAGAACAGGGUUGUAUUCAUUAGGAAUCAAACAGAAUGAAUACACCACAGAACAGGGUUGUAUUCAUUAGGAAUCAAACAGAAUGAAUACACCACAGAACAGGUGAUUCAUUAGGAAUCAAACAGAAUGAAUACACCACAGAACAGGUGAUUCAUUAGGAAUCAAACAGAAUGAAUACACCACAGAACAGGGUUGUAUUCAUUAGGAAUCAAACAGAAUGAAUACACCACAGAACAGGGUUGUAUUCAUUAGGAAUCAAACAGAAUGAAUACACCACAGAACAGGUGAUUCAUUAGGAAUCAAACAGAAUGAAUACACCACAGAACAGGUGAUUCAUUAGGAAUCAAACAGAAUGAAUACACUACAGAACAGGGUUGUAUUCAUUAGGAAUCAAACAGAAUGAAUACACCACAGAACAGGUGAUUCAUUAGGAAUCAAACAGAAUGAAUACACCACAGAACAGGUGAUUCAUUAGGAAUCAAACAGAAUGAAUACACCACAGAACAGGUGAUUCAUUAGGAAUCAAACAGAAUGAAUACACCACAGAACAGGUGAUUCAUUAGGAAUCAAACAGAAUGAAUACACUACAGAACAGGUGAUUCAUUAGGAAUCAAACAGAAUGAAUACACCACAGAACAGGUGAUUCAUUAGGAA